Molecule: ribosomal RNA, 510 nt
Filed under: uncultured bacterium
Lineage: Bacteria
Description: partial 16S ribosomal RNA
Rfam family: Bacterial small subunit ribosomal RNA
Source: RNAcentral
GACGAACGCUGGCGGCGUGCUUAACACAUGCAAGUCGAACGAAGAGCGAUGGAAGCUUGCUUCUAUCAAUCUUAGUGGCGAACGGGUGAGUAACGCGUAAUCAACCUGCCCUUCAGAGAGGGACAACAGUUGGAAACGACUGCUAAUACCGCAUACGAUCUAAUCUCGGCAUCGAGGAUAGAUGAAAGGUGGCCUCUACAUGUAAGCUAUCACUGAAGGAGGGGAUUGCGUCUGAUUAGCUAGUUGGAGGGGUAACGGCCCACCAAGGCGAUGAUCAGUAGCCGGUCUGAGAGGAUGAACGGCCACAUUGGGACUGAGACACGGCCCAGACUCCUACGGGAGGCAGCAGUGGGGAAUCUUCCGCAAUGGACGAAAGUCUGACGGAGCAACGCCGCGUGAGCGAUGACGGCCUUCGGGUUGUAAAGCUCUGUUAAUCGGGACGAAAGGCCUCCUUGCGAAUAGGGAGAAGGAUUGACGGUACCGGAAUAGAAAGCCACGGCUAACUACGUG